This 491-nucleotide ribosomal RNA is filed under the name uncultured bacterium. Its description in RNAcentral is "partial 16S ribosomal RNA". It matches the Rfam family "Bacterial small subunit ribosomal RNA", at positions 28 to 507 of the family's 1533-position model. The record is from RNAcentral.
GAUGAACGCUGGCUACAGGCUUAACACAUGCAAGUCGAGGGGAAACGACGGGGAAGCUUGCUUCCCCGGGCGUCGACCGGCGCACGGGUGAGUAACGCGUAUCCAACCUGCCUCUGACUGAGGGAUAACCCGUCGAAAGUCGGCCUAAUACCUCAUGGUAUCGUCUGCGGGCAUCCAACGACGAUUAAAGAUUUCAUCGGUCAGGGAUGGGGAUGCGUCUGAUUAGCUUGUUGGCGGGGUAACGGCCCACCAAGGCUACGAUCAGUAGGGGUUCUGAGAGGAAGGUCCCCCACAUUGGAACUGAGACACGGUCCAAACUCCUACGGGAGGCAGCAGUGAGGAAUAUUGGUCAAUGGGCGAGAGCCUGAACCAGCCAAGUAGCGUGCAGGAAGACGGCCCUAUGGGUUGUAAACUGCUUUUAUGCGGGGAUAAAGUGAGGGACGUGUCCCUCAUUGCAGGUACCGCACGAAUAAGGACCGGCUAAUUCCGUG